AUGGAAAUGCUUAAUGAAUUCAACCCUCUUGUGCAGACAGCAGGUCGGCUUCCUCUCGCCGCUCUGAACUGCAGGACUCGCUGGAUGGAUGUGAAUGUGAGCAACCAAACUAUCAGGUGAGAAUAGCUUCGUGUGGCUCUUUAUUUUUUGAGCUGGUCAAGUGAUUCUAGGAGACUCAUAUUCUGUUUCAUUACUUUUUUAUCUGUGAUGUCUGGACUUUCUUUGAGGCUCAUAUUCUUUUUUUUAUUGUUCACAAGAUAGGUUAGAUUUUUGUGGCAAUAUCACUAUGAGGAAGCCGACAACCUGGAUUGCCAAUUACCUCCGCAGGGUGCCCCAUUUUUUGAUGUCAUGAUUAUCCGCGUUCGAGAACCGGUGGAUCAUUUUGUAACUUAUGCAGGUUAUGUGCACAUUGAGAGUUUCUUCUGCUCGAGGCAGCCGUCGUCCACAUGCUCCUCCUAAAGUUCCUCCUUGUCACCACGAGUGGAUGCCGGUGAGGCCAGCCUUCCCGGACUG
RNAcentral lists this long non-coding RNA (513 nucleotides) under Triticum aestivum (bread wheat). Its description in RNAcentral is "long non-coding RNA (TAES_LNC005806)". The record is from RNAcentral. Lineage: Eukaryota; Viridiplantae; Streptophyta; Magnoliopsida; Poales; Poaceae.